RNAcentral lists this ribosomal RNA (253 nucleotides) under uncultured bacterium. RNAcentral describes it as "partial 16S ribosomal RNA". It matches the Rfam family "Bacterial small subunit ribosomal RNA", at positions 524 to 776 of the family's 1533-position model. The record is from RNAcentral.
UACGUAGGUGGCAAGCGUUAUCCGGAUUUACUGGGUGUAAAGGGCGUGUAGGCGGGAGUGCAAGUCAGAUGUGAAAACCACGGGCUCAACCUGUGGCCUGCAUUUGAAACUGUACUUCUUGAGUACUGGAGAGGCAGACGGAAUUCCUAGUGUAGCGGUGAAAUGCGUAGAUAUUAGGAGGAACACCAGUGGCGAAGGCGGUCUGCUGGACAGCAACUGACGCUGAGGCGCAAAAGCGUGGGGAGCAAACAGG